Molecule: long non-coding RNA, 257 nt
Filed under: Panax ginseng (ginseng)
Lineage: Eukaryota; Viridiplantae; Streptophyta; Magnoliopsida; Apiales; Araliaceae
Description: long non-coding RNA (PGIN_LNC013140)
Source: RNAcentral
UGAAAUCUCAUCUCAUAAAUUAUCAAGGCUGGUGGUGAAUAAAUGAGCCUCCCUUCCCUCACCAUCCAUAAUUUAAGGCGCAAUAAUUUGCUGCUAAUUUGUUUAAUCUUCAUGGGGAUUUUCACUAUCCAAUGACUUCUCCAAAGACCAACGACCAUUCUUUUCCAUCCCUUCAAUGUUUGGGUCCCGCCAACAUCUUGACCACCUGCACAAAUUUGGAUAAAAGCGAUCUUUCAAAAAUUUUCUUAAUCUUCAUG